RNAcentral lists this ribosomal RNA (444 nucleotides) under Triticum aestivum (bread wheat). Its description in RNAcentral is "partial small subunit ribosomal RNA". Lineage: Eukaryota; Viridiplantae; Streptophyta; Magnoliopsida; Poales; Poaceae. The record is from RNAcentral.
AUGAUGAUCCACGCCACCGCCGCCAACACCAGGGAUCUCGAUGAAUGGCACGACGCGCUGAGGGUGGUUAGUGAGGAGGGGGUGGUCGUCGAAGCUGUAGCGAGAGCGGUUGACGAUGGUGAAGGCAAGGGCCUUGAGCCAAGUCGUGCCGCACUUGGGCUGCGUGGCGAGGAUGAUGUCGUCGGCACAGGAUUCGAAGGCGUCCUGGGCCAGCAGGAUCUGCUCCAGCGGCAGGCCUCUGAACCAGAAAUUCUUGUACUAGAUGAGUGGUUGCGACCACCCUUUUCUCUGGGGGAGUGUGGAUAUGAACUCAUCGAUGCUUACUUUUGGAUGGCACAUCUUCUUGAUGAGGUGAACUCCUGGUGGCGCUACUCUCUCGGUCGCGCUCUCAUGGAUGUGGAACCCAUGCCAUGGUUGAUGGGAGGAGGAGAUGCAAAGCUUUGA